GACGAACGCUGGCGGCGUGCCUAAUACAUGCAAGUAGAACGCUGAAGAGAGGAGCUUGCUCUUCUUGGAUGAGUUGCGAACGGGUGAGUAACGCGUAGGUAACCUGCCUUGUAGCGGGGGAUAACUAUUGGAAACGAUAGCUAAUACCGCAUAACAAUGGAUGACACAUGUCAUUUAUUUGAAAGGGGCAAUUGCUCCACUACAAGAUGGACCUGCGUUGUAUUAGCUAGUAGGUGAGGUAAUGGCUCACCUAGGCGACGAUACAUAGCCGACCUGAGAGGGUGAUCGGCCACACUGGGACUGAGACACGGCCCAGACUCCUACGGGAGGCAGCAGUAGGGAAUCUUCGGCAAUGGGGGCAACCCCGACCGAGCAACGCCGCGUGAGUGAAGAAGGGUUUCGGAUCGUAAAGCUCUGUUGUAAGUCAAGAACGGGUGUGAGAGUGGAAAGUUCACACUGUGACGGUAGCUUACCAGAAAGGGACGGCUAACUACGUG
Molecule: ribosomal RNA, 497 nt
Filed under: uncultured bacterium
Lineage: Bacteria
Description: partial 16S ribosomal RNA
Rfam family: Bacterial small subunit ribosomal RNA
Source: RNAcentral